AACCCGACUCCAUGAAGCUGGAUUCGCUAGUAAUCGCGCAUCAGCCACGGCGCGGUGAAUACGUUCCCGGGCCUUGUACACACCGCCCGUCAAGCCAUGGAANCCGGGGGUGCCUGAAGUGCGUGACCGCAAGGAGCGCCCUAGGGUAAAACCGGUGACUGGGGCUAAGUCGUAACAAGGUAGC
Molecule: ribosomal RNA, 184 nt
Filed under: uncultured bacterium
Lineage: Bacteria
Description: partial 16S ribosomal RNA
Rfam family: Bacterial small subunit ribosomal RNA
Source: RNAcentral